RNAcentral lists this transfer RNA (84 nucleotides) under Candidatus Woesearchaeota archaeon. Its description in RNAcentral is "tRNA-Leu". The record is from RNAcentral. Lineage: Archaea; Nanobdellati; Candidatus Woesearchaeota.
GCCGGCGAUGACCAAUCUGGUGGGUCGCCUACUUCAGAGGUAGGUGUCUGAAAAGACAUCGGGGUUCAAAUCCCCGCGCCGGCG